RNAcentral lists this unclassified non-coding RNA (437 nucleotides) under Artemisia dracunculus var. glauca. RNAcentral's name for it is "partial external transcribed spacer". The record is from RNAcentral. Lineage: Eukaryota; Viridiplantae; Streptophyta; Magnoliopsida; Asterales; Asteraceae.
UGUUUGGUUUGUUACGUGUGGUUGGCUGCGGCGUUUGCAACAACUUCCAUGCUUUCAGACCUCUUCAGUUGUGCGGCAAGGCUUGUAUCGCCUUGAGCGUAUUGUGGGUUUUCUGUGUUGGCUACCUAAUCAACGGUAUCGUUUGGAUUGAUCAAAGUUUGAUUUCGUCUUCCGUCGCGUUUGCGGCGUGAGGUGAACCUUGAUGCGGUCUCUUUGAUCCAUCUCGUCGAAGCACAUGCUUUGACGUUGUGGCACAUUGAGCAUUGCUUGGUGUCUUGUAUACGGAACACGUAGUGGGCAUGGAUCUAACGAUUCUUGUUUGCCCUCAUAUUAGCGUAACGCUUCUCUAACACGACUUGCACCACGUUUUAGCUCGUACGGACGUGGUGCUAUGUCGCAGAGGAAUGCUACCUGGUUGAUCCUGCCAGAGUCAAUNU